CGACGGAGGGGGCUAGCGUUGUUCGGAUUUACUGGGCGUAAAGGGCGCGUAGGCGGAUUAGUAAGUUGGGAGUGAAAGCCCGGGGCUCAACCUCGGAACUGCUUUCAAAACUGCUAGUCUAGAGUGAAGUAGGGGGUGAUGGAAUUCCUAGUGUAGAGGUGAAAUUCUUAGAUAUUAGGAGGAACACCGGUGGCGAAGGCGGUCACCUGGACUUCAACUGACGCUGAGGCGCGAAAGCGUGGGGAGCAAACAGGAUUAGAAACCCCAGUAGUCC
Molecule: ribosomal RNA, 274 nt
Filed under: uncultured bacterium
Lineage: Bacteria
Description: partial 16S ribosomal RNA
Rfam family: Bacterial small subunit ribosomal RNA
Source: RNAcentral